GUCGUUUCGGGAGGUGCCUGGGCAGCUCAUGUUUGGACUGGACUUGUGUGAUGGUUUGGGCCUAUUUUUGUUUUAUUUCUUGGGCCCAAACCGAUUUUCAUCACUUCUUUUCUUUUGUUUUCCCUAAUUUUAAAAAAAAUGAAAUAAAAAUGAAAAAAUGAAAUUAAAAUAAACACAAUGUAACACUUCCACCAAAUUAAAAUGUUUAAGUAAGUUAAAUCACAACCUAGAACGAACGAUGCAUAUAUAUAUAUUUUUUUUUGAAUUUUCUUUCAACGACCGAAUUACGGUUUGAUUACCAUGACAGACAUAAGUUCUAUUUUGAUUGAUAAGAUCAAAUGCAACAUGGACCGAACCACAAAUGACUAACAGCACAUGCCACGAAAAAUCGAAAAAAAUUGUACAGCGGGUCAUUUGUCACUAUUUUUGUUUUCUUUUGGAGCGAUUGUCCGUGAAGCAAAAAUCACGUGCUUACAGUGUUUAUUAGUUAUAUGCUAAUACACUUAGCGUUACAAUUUUAUAAUCAGUUCCACAAAUAAGCCAUGAACAUUCAUGUUACCUUCUCAGGAAAAAGAAAAACUAUGAAGAUUUUCCAUGACUUCAUGUUUCAAGUUAGUUCUUGUCAAAGUUUAUUGAAAGAUGGUAACAUUGUAGCCUUCCAGUUAAAUAUAUGCUAAAAUUGUGGAGUGCCCAAAAGAUUAAAGAUGACCAAGUCUCUCUCUCUGUAUGUGUGUAUUUACCUAAUUUCUCCAUAUGAGCUCUUUCCUACAUGCUAACAAUUAAACAUCACAGUUUCUAUCGCCGGAUAGAUUGUCAAAUCUAAUAGUGAAUAUAGCUUAGCUCAGAAUUCACAUUUUUUUUAAUCAAAAAAGACAAUAAGCUCAUAUUCACAUUUCUUGAUAACAAUAAAAAAAUACAAUGAGCACAUAAUGACCUCCAAACUAUUAAAAUCUCAGCUUUCUCACUAAUCUUUUUAUAAACUAAACAAAACUUCGCUUGUUAGAGAAAUCUCAGAGGAAGCAUAUCAAUACUCUUUCCUCUUAUACAUAAGAAAGACUUAUUUUUUAGAUUAUCCAUAAAAAAGUUUACAUAUUAGUACAUAAAAAAUAUCAUUGAACAUUGCUGGUUUAAACCCCUAUGCGUGGUCCCAAAUACCACCAAAAUUUCAACUGAUAUUAAAUUUUGAACCCAUAAUCUCAACUCAAUGGACAACCAAUUGUCACCCUCUGUAUUUGUUAGUUUUCCUUAUUGGGAAAAUCCAUAUUGAAUAGGAAGGUGCAGAGAACUUCAAUUAAUGGAUGAUCUCCAGAAUAGCAGCAAAGUGGCUACCAAAGCAAUAAAGAGCCUAAACGUUAGAUAGUCGAAGGAAAUCCCAAUUUCUUUUCUAGGUAUUUUUGAAUUUCACAAAACUAACAUAAAAUUACAAUUUAAUUUCAAGCAACAAAUCAGCAAGAACCCAAAAAUAAAACAAUCACAGUCACAUGUAAUGAAAAAAGAUAGAACAAUAAACUAACCUUUCAGCCAUAUGAUUAUGUCAAUUGAACAACUACUGAACUACAAAACCCCAAACAAAACCCUAAUUUUCUGUUACAACGAAGAAGCAGAAGCCAAAGGAAUUCUGAGCGAAGAUCAGCGGUGACUGUGAACCAUGUGAUUAUGUCAAUUUAGCAACUAAUGAACCACAAAAAUCCAAGCCAAACACCAAUUCUUUCUUACAACGAAGAAGAAGGUUGUGGAAUUCUCACCGAAGAGAGGAAAAAGCAUAGCAAAUUUAAUUCUGUACUUUGAAAUUAGAUACAAAUUAGAUAGAGAAAAACAAAGAAGAUGGUUAGAUAGAGAUAGAGAGUGACUUAUCUGUCAUACUGAAGUACCGCAGAUAAAUCAGUAAUGCGCCAGCUGUCAUAUUGAUCACACGCGUUAGCUUUCAGUCAAAUUUAGGAGCAAUAUGAAAUGACCACAAUACCCUUUAGCAGCAAGCAGACAUGACGACCUUCAGCUGCUU
This 2002-nucleotide long non-coding RNA is filed under the name Nicotiana tabacum (common tobacco). RNAcentral's name for it is "long non-coding RNA (NTAB_LNC005617)". Lineage: Eukaryota; Viridiplantae; Streptophyta; Magnoliopsida; Solanales; Solanaceae. The record is from RNAcentral.